This 654-nucleotide ribosomal RNA is filed under the name Triticum aestivum (bread wheat). RNAcentral's name for it is "partial small subunit ribosomal RNA". Lineage: Eukaryota; Viridiplantae; Streptophyta; Magnoliopsida; Poales; Poaceae. The record is from RNAcentral.
AUGGUAACUUUCUAUCAACGCUUAAGAUAUGAAAUAUUAAAUGUUCUGCUUGACCAAAUAAUUACUGAGUUAAAUAACCGCUUUGCUGAAAGAUCUACUCAAUUGUUGAGAUGCAUUGCUUGUCUUGAUCCAAGGAACUCAUUUGCUAAUUUUGAUGAAGACAAACUUGUUCAACUUGCUCAGAUGUAUGCUGAUGACUUCUCCAUAUAUGAGAUUUGUUUUGUCCUUAGAAACCAACUUGAAAACUUCAUUGCUGAUGUGAGAGCUGAUCCAAGUUUUGUUAGUUGUAAUGACCUUGGUGGUCUUGCUAUGAACAUGGUUCAAACUGAUAGAUACAUAGUUUUUCCUUUGGUAUAUCGUCUUAUUGAGUUGGCAUUGAUUUUUCCUGUUGCAACCACAUCAGUGGAAAGAGCUUUCUCGGCUAUGAGUAUUAUCAAGACUGAGUUGAGGAAUAAGAUGGGCGAUGAUUGGUUGAAUUAUUCCAUGGUGUGCAAUAUUGAGCGAGAAAUAUUUGCAAAGGUUGAUGAUGAUGCUAUUAUAUAUCGCUUUCAAGACUACAGAUUUCGCAAAGGAACUUUACCUCGUUGUAGUAGUAAGUUUUCAACUUUGUACAAUGAUAAUUGUUUCACUUCACUCAUGAAAUUUUGCUUCUGA